This 63-nucleotide transfer RNA is filed under the name Tullbergia mixta. RNAcentral describes it as "tRNA-Phe". It matches the Rfam family "tRNA". Rfam says of the family: Transfer RNA (tRNA) molecules are approximately 80 nucleotides in length. Their secondary structure includes four short double-helical elements and three loops (D, anti-codon, and T loops). Further hydrogen bonds mediate the characteristic L-shaped molecular structure. tRNAs have two regions of fundamental functional importance: the anti-codon, which is responsible for specific mRNA codon recognition, and the 3' end, to which the tRNAs corresponding amino acid is attached (by aminoacyl-tRNA synthetases). tRNAs cope with the degeneracy of the genetic code in two manners: having more than one tRNA (with a specific anti-codon) for a particular amino acid; and 'wobble' base-pairing, i.e. permitting non-standard base-pairing at the 3rd anti-codon position. Lineage: Eukaryota; Metazoa; Arthropoda; Collembola; Poduromorpha; Tullbergiidae. The record is from RNAcentral.
AUUAAAGUAGCUUAAAUUUAGAGCGUUGCAUUGAAGAUGCAAAUGUAGAGUUUCUCUUUAGUG